This is a long non-coding RNA of Hordeum vulgare subsp. vulgare (domesticated barley), 734 nucleotides long. RefSeq lists it as uncharacterized. The transcript has 2 exons. NCBI's taxonomy places the organism in Eukaryota, Viridiplantae, Streptophyta, Magnoliopsida, Poales, Poaceae. The record is from RefSeq and is a predicted model, not a curated record.
AAAAAGAAAGAGAAAGAGAAAGAGAAAGAGAGUGGUGUGUACAGCAGCCUUCAUUUUACUUACCAUGGCUUGGAGGUGCCACAUGAACAUGGUUCUUCUGCUCGUUAUACUGGAGAUCGUUCUGCUCAUUACGAUGCCAUCUGGAGGGCUGGCAGGUCCGAGUGCGAUACAGAUAAACGCCGGUAGAAACCCCAACUGCCCCGCUUGCGUCAGACGUCCUUGUCAUUGUUGAAAGUAUAUGGGGUUUUGGCCCAUUUAAUUUUUCAUUCCUCAAAAGUCAAAUAUAUGCAUUAAUGGAUGCCUGGCAUCGAUCAGCACAUUGUAGUAUCACAUGUAGAGUGGAGGAGAAAUGAGACCAACAUAUAAGGGAUUCUCUAGCUCUCUCACUCAUUAGAGCAUGAUAAGAGGACUAGUACAUGCACGCCUUCUAUACCGUCACACCGGACCCCUCGCCUAUGUCUUCGAUUCCUGGCGACUUAUUCCUCCCUGUAAUAAGAAUGCUCCUUGAUGCAGUGGUAAUUUGUUAGUAAUCCAGGAGCAUGUGCAUCAUCGUUUUCCAAUUUGGACCCAUUAUGUCGUUAUUAUAUUUUUGUGUUGUACAAAGACUACUUGACUGGCAACUUGAUACAUCAUUUUGUUGUGCAUGAAAGGUUUCCAUGCAGCAACCAAUGAUCUCAAAUGUGUGACAAGGCUUCUUGUAUAUAUGGGAAAUGUAAAAGAGGUUCCAAUUACCA